RNAcentral lists this unclassified non-coding RNA (253 nucleotides) under uncultured Acidobacteriota bacterium. RNAcentral describes it as "uncultured Acidobacteria bacterium contains 16S-23S intergenic spacer region". It matches the Rfam family "Bacterial small subunit ribosomal RNA", at positions 524 to 776 of the family's 1533-position model. The record is from RNAcentral. Lineage: Bacteria; Pseudomonadati; Acidobacteriota.
UACGGGGGGGGCAAGCGUUGUUCGGAUUUACUGGGCGUAAAGGGCGCGUAGGCGGUCUGUUAAGUCGGAUGUGAAAACUCUGGGCUCAACCCAGAGCCUGCAUCCGAUACUGGCAGGCUAGAGUGCGAGAGGGGAAAGCGGAAUUCCUGGUGUAGCGGUGAAAUGCGUAGAUAUCAGGAGGAACACCGGCGGCGAAGGCGGCUUUCUGGAUCGCAACUGACGCUGAGGCGCGAAAGCUAGGGGAGCAAACAGG